Molecule: long non-coding RNA, 729 nt
Filed under: Populus trichocarpa (black cottonwood)
Lineage: Eukaryota; Viridiplantae; Streptophyta; Magnoliopsida; Malpighiales; Salicaceae
Description: long non-coding RNA (PTRI_LNC004263)
Source: RNAcentral
UUUAGAAGGUAGAGUUUGUGAAGAUGAGAAUAUGUCUGGGGUUACAGAUGGUUGAAUUUGUGAUGUUGGUGACAGUGGCAGCAGCAGCUGUGAAGGUUCAGAUGGCGGCUGUUUUGAAGGUUGAGAUGCAUUGUUGUUCAUCGACUCUUUGUUAUCAAACGUAUCCCAAAAGAUUGAGAAUAUGUCUGCUUUUUCUCCCCGAUGAUCAGGGGUUACAGAUGGUUGAAUUUGUGAUGUUGGUGACAGUGGCAGCAGCAGCUGUGAAGGUUCAGAUGGCGGCUGUUUUGAAGGUUGAGAUGCAUUGUUGUUCAUCGACUCUUUGUUAUCAAACGUAUCCCAAAAGAUUGAGAAUAUGUCUGCUUUUUCUCCCCGAUGAUCAGGGGUUACAGAUGGUUGAAUUUGUGAUGUUGGUGACAGUGGCAGCAGCAGCUGUGAAGGUUCAGAUGGCGGCUGUUUUGAAGGUUGAGAUGCAUUGUUGUUCAUCGACUCUUUGUUAUCAAACGUAUCCCAAAAGGUUGAGAAUAUGUCUGCUUUUUCUCCCCGAUGAUCAGGGGUUACAGAUGGUUGAAUUUGUGAUGUUGGUGACAGUGGCAGCAGCAGCUGUGAAGGUUCAGAUGGCGGCUGUUUUGAAGGUUGAGAUGCAUUGUUGUUCAUCGACUCUUUGUUAUCAAACGUAUCCCAAAAGGUUGAGAAUAUGUCUGGUUUUUCUCCCUGAUGAUCAGGGGUUAC